GGUUCAAUGGUCUAGUGGUUAUGAUUUCUGUCUCACAGGGUGAUCACAGAAGGUCUCCAGUUCGAUCCUGGAUUGAACCA
This 80-nucleotide transfer RNA is filed under the name Sphagnurus paluster. RNAcentral describes it as "tRNA-Val". The record is from RNAcentral. Lineage: Eukaryota; Fungi; Basidiomycota; Agaricomycetes; Agaricales; Lyophyllaceae.